This is a non-coding RNA of Salmo salar (Atlantic salmon), 136 nucleotides long. The record is from RefSeq and is a predicted model, not a curated record. NCBI's taxonomy places the organism in Eukaryota, Metazoa, Chordata, Actinopteri, Salmoniformes, Salmonidae.
UUUGGGGACCCCCCUGUGUUGGGACUUACAAGUACCUGGACACCAAAUACUCCUGUGUCCAACAGCCCGAAACAAUAAGCAGCAUCAUAUGUGAAGGCUCUGAUUCCCAACUACUAUGUGAUCGGGGUGAGAUCCA